UUCUAUUUUCUUUACAAAUAGUAGUACCUGCUCAAUGCUCUUUGUUAAUAGCCGCUAUAUUCAGUGCUAAGGUAGCAUAAUCAUUAGCCUUUUAAUUUAAGGAUAGAAUGAAAGGUUUAACAUAUGGAUAUCUUUAUUGAUUAGUUUUCUUUAACUUUACUUGAAAGUAAAAAGGCUUUCAUUUUUAGGGAAGACAACAAGACCCUAUCGAGCUUAACCUUUAGUUUAACUGGGGAGGUAAUCAACCAAAUCUUUAUUUAAUUUUCUCCCUAACUCUUUCUAAAGAAUUUUACCAAGUUACCGUAGGGAUAACAGCAUAAUCCUUCUCUAGAGAUCUUAUCUAAAGAGGAAAUUGUGACCUCGAUGUUGAAUAUUAAAUCUUUUAGGAGCAAAAUCUUUUGAAGAAAGUCUGUUCGACUUUUAAAUUUUUACA
This 433-nucleotide ribosomal RNA is filed under the name Cyclocosmia truncata. Its description in RNAcentral is "partial 16S ribosomal RNA". It matches the Rfam family "Archaeal large subunit ribosomal RNA", at positions 1927 to 2671 of the family's 2987-position model. The record is from RNAcentral. Lineage: Eukaryota; Metazoa; Arthropoda; Arachnida; Araneae; Ctenizidae.